This 253-nucleotide ribosomal RNA is filed under the name uncultured bacterium. RNAcentral describes it as "partial 16S ribosomal RNA". It matches the Rfam family "Bacterial small subunit ribosomal RNA", at positions 524 to 776 of the family's 1533-position model. The record is from RNAcentral.
UACAUGUGGGGCAAGCGUUGUUCGGAAUUACUGGGCGUAAAGGGCUCGUAGGCGGCCAACUAAGUCCGACGUGAAAUCCCCAGGCUUAACCAAGGAAGUGCACCCGAAACUGGAUAGCUUGAGUACAGAAGAGGAUCGCGGAAUUCCCGGUGUAGAGGUGAAAUUCGUAGAUAUCGGGAGGAACACCAGUGGCGAAGGCGGCGAUCUGGGCUGAUACUGACGCUGAGGUGCGAAAGCGUGGGGAGCAAACAGG